Molecule: ribosomal RNA, 254 nt
Filed under: uncultured bacterium
Lineage: Bacteria
Description: partial 16S ribosomal RNA
Rfam family: Bacterial small subunit ribosomal RNA
Source: RNAcentral
CACGUAGGGUGCGAGCGUUGUCCGGAAGUAUUGGGCGUAAAGAGCUCGUAGGCGGUGUGUCGCGUCGGCCGUGAAAACCUGCAGCUUAACUGUGGGCUUGCGGUCGAUACGGGCAUCACUGGAGUUCGGCAGGGGAGACUGGAAUUCCUGGUGUAGCGGUGAAAUGCGCAGAUAUCAGGAGGAACACCGGUGGCGAAGGCGGGUCUCUGGGCCGAUACUGACGCUGAGGAGCGAAAGCGUGGGGAGCGAACAGG